AGUUUGAUUAUGCUCAGAUUGAACGCUGGCGGGAUGCUUGUACAUGCAAAAGUCGAACGGCAGCACGGACUUCGUCUGGCGGCGAGUAAGAACGGGUAGCAAUGUACCGGAACGUGCCUAGUAGCGGGGGGAUAACUACGUGAGCGGGGUGAAGCAUACCGUAAUACGCCCUUCGGGGGAAAGCGGGGGGACCUUCGGGCCUCGCACUAUUAGAGCGGCCGAUAUCGGAUUAGCUAGUUGGUAACGGCUCACCAAGGGACAGAUCCGUGAAGCUGGUUUGAGAGGACGACCAGCCACAUCGGGACUGGAGACACGGCCCAGACUCCUACGGGAGGCAGCAGUGGGGAAUUUUGGACAAUGGGGAAACCCUGAUCCAGCCAUCCUGGGCGUGUGCGAUGAAGGCCUUCGGGUUGUAAAGCACUUUUGGCAGGAAAGAAACGCACGGGAUAAUACCCCGUGCAACUGACGGUACCUGCAGAAUAAGCACCGGCUAACUACGCCAGCAGCCGCGGCGCGUAGGGUGCAAGCGUUAAUCGGAAUUACUGGGCGUAAAAGCGUGCGUAUGGUUCGGAAAGAAAGAUGCGAACCCAGAGCUAACUUUGAACCUGCAUUUUUAACUACCGAGCUAGAGUGUGUCAGGGAGGGAGGUGGAAUUCCGCGUGUAGCAGUGAAAUGCGUAGAUAUGCGGAGGAACACCGAUGGCGAAGGCAGCUUCCUGGGGGAUAACACUGACGCUCAUGCACGAAAGCGUGGGAGCAAACAGGAUUAGAUACCCUGUAACUACGCUCCAAACGAUGUCAACUAGCUGUUGGGGCCUUCGGGCCUUGGUAGCGCAGCUAACGCGUGAAGCGACCGCCUGGGGAGUACGGUCGCAAGAUUAAAACUCAAAGGAAUUGACGGGGACCCGCACAAGCGGUGGAUGAUGUGGAUUACUCCGAUGCAACGCGAAAACCUUACCUACCCUGACAUGUCUGGAAUCCCGAAGAGAUUUGGGAGGUUUGCAAGAGAACCGGAACACAGGUGCUGCAUGGCUGUCGUCAGCUCGUGUCGUGAGAUGCUGGGUUAAGUCCCGCAACGAGCGCAACCCUGUCAUUAGUUGCUACGAAAGGGCACUCUGACGACUGCCAAGACAAACCGGAGGAAGGUGGGAUGACGUCAAGUCCUCAUGGCCCUUAUGGGUAGGGGUCACACGUCAUACAAUGGUCGGGACAGAGGGUCGCCAACCCGCGAGGGGGAGCCAAUCCCAGAAACCUGAUCGUAGUCCGGAUCGCAGUCUGCAACUCGACUGCGUGAAGUCGGAAUCGCUAGCAAUCGCGGAUCAGCAUGUCGCGGUGAAUAUCAGCGUUCUGCAUCUUGUACACACCGCCCGUCACACCAUGGAGUGGGGUUUUACCAGAAGUAGUUAGCCUAACCGUAAGGAGGGCGAUUACCACGGUAGGAUUCAGACUGGGGUGAAGUCGUAACAAGGUAG
This 1471-nucleotide ribosomal RNA is filed under the name uncultured Bordetella sp. RNAcentral describes it as "partial 16S-23S ribosomal RNA intergenic spacer". It matches the Rfam family "Bacterial small subunit ribosomal RNA". Lineage: Bacteria; Pseudomonadati; Pseudomonadota; Betaproteobacteria; Burkholderiales; Alcaligenaceae. The record is from RNAcentral.